GGAUCUCUUGGUUCUGGCAUCGAUGAAGAACGCAGCGAAAUGCGAUAAGUAGUGUGAAUUGCAGAAUUCAGUGAAUCAUCGAAUCUUUGAACGCACAUUGCGCCCCUUGGUAUUCCAUGGGGCAUGCCUGUUCGAGCGUCAUUUGUACCCUCAAGCUUUGCUUGGUGAUGGGUGUUUGUCCUGUCCUUUUGCGACUGGACUCGCCUUAAAGUUAUUGGCAGCCGGCAUAUAGGCCUUUGGAGCGCAGCACAAUUUGCGCUUUGUGUCCAUUACGACGACGUCCAUUAAGCCCUUUUUACACUCUUGACCUCGGAUCAGGUAGGGAUACCCGCUGAACUUAAGCAUAUCAAUAAGCGGAGGA
RNAcentral lists this ribosomal RNA (361 nucleotides) under uncultured fungus. RNAcentral describes it as "eukaryotic LSU rRNA". The stretch from base 1 to 141 matches the Rfam family "5.8S ribosomal RNA". The record is from RNAcentral. Lineage: Eukaryota; Fungi.